AUUGAACGCUGGCGGCAUGCCUUACACAUGCAAGUCGAACGGCAGCACGGGAGCAAUCCUGGUGGCGAGUGGCGAACGGGUGAGUAAUAUAUCGGAACGUGCCCAGUCGUGGGGGAUAACGUAGCGAAAGCUACGCUAAUACCGCAUACGAUCUAUGGAUGAAAGCGGGGGAUCGCAAGACCUCGCGCGAUUGGAGCGGCCGAUAUCAGAUUAGGUAGUUGGUGAGGUAAAGGCUCACCAAGCCGACGAUCUGUAGCUGGUCUGAGAGGACGACCAGCCACACUGGAACUGAGACACGGUCCAGACUCCUACGGGAGGCAGCAGUGGGGAAUUUUGGACAAUGGACGCAAGUCUGAUCCAGCCAUUCCGCGUGCAGGAUGAAGGCCCUCGGGUUGUAAACUGCUUUUGUACGGAACGAAAAGGUUUCUAUUAAUACUAGGAGCUCAUGACGGUACCGUAAGAAUAAGCACCGG
This 473-nucleotide ribosomal RNA is filed under the name uncultured bacterium. RNAcentral describes it as "bacterial SSU rRNA". It matches the Rfam family "Bacterial small subunit ribosomal RNA", at positions 30 to 496 of the family's 1533-position model. The record is from RNAcentral.